AACGAACGCUGGCGGCAGGCUUAACACAUGCAAGUCGAACGCACCGCAAGGUGAGUGGCAGACGGGUGAGUAACACGUGGGGAUCUGCCCAAUGGUACGGAAUAGCUCCGGGAAACUGGAAUUAAUACCGUAUGUGCCCUUCGGGGGAAAGAUUUAUCGCCAUUGGAUGAACCCGCGUCGGAUUAGCUAGUUGGUGAGGUAAAGGCUCACCAAGGCGACGAUCCGUAGCUGGUCUGAGAGGAUGAUCAGCCACACUGGGACUGAGACACGGCCCAGACUCCUACGGGAGGCAGCAGUGGGGAAUAUUGGACAAUGGGCGCAAGCCUGAUCCAGCCAUGCCGCGUGAGUGAUGAAGGCCUUAGGGUUGUAAAGCUCUUUCGCCGACGAAGAUAAUGACGGUAGUCGGAGAAGAAGCCCCGGCUAACUUCGUGCCAGCCGCCGCCGUAA
This 447-nucleotide ribosomal RNA is filed under the name uncultured bacterium. Its description in RNAcentral is "partial 16S ribosomal RNA". It matches the Rfam family "Bacterial small subunit ribosomal RNA", at positions 29 to 523 of the family's 1533-position model. The record is from RNAcentral.